This 497-nucleotide ribosomal RNA is filed under the name uncultured bacterium. RNAcentral describes it as "partial 16S ribosomal RNA". It matches the Rfam family "Bacterial small subunit ribosomal RNA", at positions 28 to 507 of the family's 1533-position model. The record is from RNAcentral.
GAUGAACGCUGGCGGCGUGCCUAAUACAUGCAAGUCGAGCGAACAGACGAGGAGCUUGCUCCUCUGACGUUAGCGGCGGACGGGUGAGUAACACGUGGAUAACCUACCUAUAAGACUGGGAUAACUUCGGGAAACCGGAGCUAAUACCGGAUAACAUGUUGAACCGCAUGGUUCAACAGUGAAAGACGGUUUUGCUGUCACUUAUAGAUGGAUCCGCGCCGCAUUAGCUAGUUGGUAAGGUAACGGCUUACCAAGGCAACGAUGCGUAGCCGACCUGAGAGGGUGAUCGGCCACACUGGAACUGAGACACGGUCCAGACUCCUACGGGAGGCAGCAGUAGGGAAUCUUCCGCAAUGGGCGAAAGCCUGACGGAGCAACGCCGCGUGAGUGAAGAAGGUCUUCGGAUCGUAAAACCCUGUUAUUAGGGAAGAACAAAUGUGUAAGUAACUAUGCACGUCUUGACGGUACCUAAUCAGAAAGCCACGGCUAACUACGUG